Molecule: long non-coding RNA, 668 nt
Organism: Gambusia affinis (western mosquitofish)
Lineage: Eukaryota; Metazoa; Chordata; Actinopteri; Cyprinodontiformes; Poeciliidae
Exons: 3
Source: RefSeq, a predicted model, not a curated record
CCCCGAGGACUGGAAUUGGGAAACACUGACUGAGGGCACCCAAGUCAAAAGAUGCAAAGUUUGCUCAUACCACAGGCCGGCUCUGCUCAAUGUGCAUCUCUUUUCUUUCCAGUUUCAUCAAGAGCUUUGGAGACGAUUGAGAUUUGGACUGUUUGCAGGUCAUGCUUUUGGUCAUGCUUAUUUUUCCCAGCACAAAUUUUAAAAUGCUCUUUGCUCAGUGUAUUUCAACAGAUGGAUGUCCUGCUGGUUUCAAGCUUCCUAUCAAUCAGCCAGCUGCCACAGCUUCUUAUGAUUAGCAAGUAUUCACUUUGAAUUGGAGCCUUAGUGACACAAAUAAACCUGCAGAGGAACGUACAAGGCCUUGAACAGCCACAUUACAAGAUAAAAGCAGCGACCCGACCUGUGCCCGAUUCAGUCUUGGUAUCAGAGAAGUGCGGCAGUGUUUGAGGGAUUAUCCACAGUCGAACAGGAAAGAUUUGCAGCUAAUCUUUUUUGGAAUGCCCACUCAAGAGAAGUUGAGGGGAAGUGGUUGGGACCAAAGGUUUGUUCCUCCUGGAAGCUGGUACUCACAGCAGUCAGGGCUAAACGAUGACUAAGUCUGUUUACAGCUUGUUCCCUCUUACAGCAUCAGGGAACUGAAGUCAUGUGCUGUCCUGGAUUUAAAAAAA